This is a long non-coding RNA of Ctenopharyngodon idella (grass carp), 1150 nucleotides long. RefSeq lists it as uncharacterized. Lineage: Eukaryota; Metazoa; Chordata; Actinopteri; Cypriniformes; Xenocyprididae. The transcript has 9 exons. The record is from RefSeq and is a predicted model, not a curated record.
UUUUGCGGUCUGAAGAGAUAUCGCGAGAUUACACGAGACUACCUAGAUAGCAAACGCCAGAGCCUGGAGCGGAUCUGAGUUACCAUGGAAACGGGGAAACGUCAAGCAGCAAGACUCCGUCUCGCUGUUGUUUUCACUGAUUUUAGGGGCGACAGAAAACCCCCUCUACAACAAAGGGGAAGCUGACAGAGAAGGAGGAAACACAGUUAAGAAGUCUUUGACAUCCAAAUAUCCUUCCAUGCUGAUGGCCUCCUGCACCCCAGCAGAGCUGAGCGACCUCCUGUCAAAGCCUAUGAACCAGAUGACUAUAUUAUGUUUGCUAGUGAGACAGAUGUCAUACUGUUCCACUCAAAGAUGCUGACUGUGGUUCAGGGGGUUGACAACUUUAAGCAUAUGAGAUGUAAUCUCAUGAGAUGGUGCUGAGAUUCUUCAGGACAAGGCCUUGAUGCCAUUCACACUCAGUACAUGAAGAUGAUUCACCAAACAUCUGGCUGAUUACUGGCAAUUUGCAGUAAAGACAGUGGACAAGUGAAGAGAGUGGAGGGGACGGCAUCAGAAAGGACCUUGAGCUACGACUGUCUUGGAUCACCCAAACCACAACUACACUAUGUGUCCAAGCACUGAACAAGGCUUUUCUCCUUAAAUAUUAAAUGUAUUUAAUUUAAGGCAGGGUUUUAUUUUUCCUGCAUAGUGAAUUACUAGGUGGCUGCCUCUGUCAAAUCUAAUGCUGUCUCCAGCUAUUAACAAAACUCAGGCAGGCAGUCACAUGCUCCCAUACCCCUUUUCCACCAUCAUGGUUCUGUUGCAGGCUCCCGGCCCGUGUCCAUUCUCAAACUGUUCUACACACCUCCACUGCACAAAAGGCAGUUCCAGGUCAGAAAUAUCGGUACCCUCCCUCUUCGACAUCCUUCGCCAGUCAUCACAUUCACAACCACCACAGUCAACGCAAGUCAAGGUCCCUGGUCCACAGCAUCAACCAUCUUUGUAGGAAGAUGAAUACUGCAUUUCUUGAUUUAUCUUUAAAAUUUACAGUUUUCUUAUGGAGUGCAAUCCCUCUCUAGACGGACUGAGGUCUAUCGGUCUUACAAAAAGACACUGCAUAUGAUGUUCUCAAAAUAAAAUAAAAAAAUAAUUAAAAUAUUUAAGAAUU